Molecule: ribosomal RNA, 497 nt
Filed under: uncultured bacterium
Lineage: Bacteria
Description: partial 16S ribosomal RNA
Rfam family: Bacterial small subunit ribosomal RNA
Source: RNAcentral
GAUGAACGCUGGCGGCGUGCCUAAUACAUGCAAGUCGAGCGAACGGACGAGAAGCUUGCUUCUCUGAUGUUAGCGGCGGACGGGUGAGUAACACGUGGAUAACCUACCUAUAAGACUGGGAUAACUUCGGGAAACCGUAGCUAAUACCGGAUAAUAUUUUGAACCGCAUGGUUCAAAAGUGAAAGACGGUCUUGCUGUCACUUCUAGAUGGAUCCGCGCUGCAUUAGCUAGUUGGUAAGGUAACGGCUUACCAAGGCAACGAUGCAUAGCCGACCUGAGAGGGUGAUCGGCCACACUGGAACUGAGACACGGUCCAGACUCCUACGGGAGGCAGCAGUAGGGAAUCUUCCGCAAUGGGCGAAAGCCUGACGGAGCAACGCCGCGUGAGUGAUGAAGGUCUUCGGAUCGUAAAACUCUGUUAUUAGGGAAGAACAUAUGUGUAAGUAACUGUGCACAUCUUGACGGUACCUAAUCAGAAAGCCACGGCUAACUACGUG